Molecule: long non-coding RNA, 264 nt
Organism: Asterias rubens (European starfish)
Lineage: Eukaryota; Metazoa; Echinodermata; Asteroidea; Forcipulatida; Asteriidae
Exons: 3
Source: RefSeq, a predicted model, not a curated record
CAAUCUUGGUAGCCAGCCAACUCCAUAUUCAAGAUGACCCAACUAAUUGAGUGAUCUAUAAGACAGGGACAGUAUGCUGAUGAGAUAGAAUUAUUGCAACAAUGUUUGGCAUCUCCAAAGACAUCUAUCCAUCACCAAGUAGAGGUCCAAGACCAGCCUUAGAUAGAGGAUCUGCAGUCUCCAGUUAAAGGUGAAUCCCCCAAGAAAGGCUCAUCAUCUCCAAAGACAUCUACCCAUCAACAAGUACAUUGUGCGUCCAAGACC